CCUACGGGAGGCAGCAGUCGGGAAUUUUGGGCAAUGGGCGCAAGCCUGACCCAGCAACGCCGCGUGAAGGAUGAAGCAUUUCGGUGUGUAAACUUCAUAAGAAUGGGAAGAAUAAGGGUGGACGAAUACUCCAUCCGAUGACGGUACUAUUUGUAAGCUCCGGCUAACUCCGUGCCAGCAGCCGCGGUAAUACGGGGGGAGCAAGCGUUGUUCGGAUUUACUGGGCGUAAAGGGCGCGUAGGCGGUCUUUGUCAAGUCACUCGUGAAAUCUCCGGGCUUAACCCGGAGCGGCCGAGCGAUACUGACAGACUGGAGUGCGGAAGGGGCCACCGGAAUUCUCGGUGUAGCGGUGAAAUGCGUAGAUAUCGAGAGGAACACCUGCGGCGAAGGCGGGUGGCUGGGCCGACACUGACGCUGAGGCGCGAAAGCCAGGGGAGCGA
This 440-nucleotide ribosomal RNA is filed under the name uncultured bacterium. Its description in RNAcentral is "bacterial SSU rRNA". It matches the Rfam family "Bacterial small subunit ribosomal RNA", at positions 338 to 771 of the family's 1533-position model. The record is from RNAcentral.